Molecule: long non-coding RNA, 1070 nt
Filed under: Salmo salar (Atlantic salmon)
Lineage: Eukaryota; Metazoa; Chordata; Actinopteri; Salmoniformes; Salmonidae
Description: lncRNA (ENSSSAG00000093566.1)
Source: RNAcentral
GUUUAUUAGAACAGGGGGUGUGGUAGUAAGUUUAUUAGAACAGGGGGGGUGUGGUAGUAAGUUUAUUAGAACAGGGGGAGUGGUAGUAAGUUUAUUAGAACAGGGGAGUGUGGUAGUAAGUUUAUUAGAACAGGGGGUGUGGUAGUAAGUUUAUUAGAACAGGGGGGUGUAGUAGUAAGUUAAUCAGAACAAGGGGUGUGGUAGUAAGUUUAGCAGAACAGGGGGUGUGGUAGUAAGUUUAUCAGUAGAGGGGGGUGGGGUAGUAAGUUUAGCAGAACAGGGGGGUGUGGAAGUAAGUUUAUCAGUAGAGGGGGGUGGGGUAGUAAGUUUAGCAGAACAGGGGGGUGUGGUAGUAAGUUUAUCAGUAGAGGGGGGUGGGGUAGUAAGGCCAAUAGCAGUCCACCAUGUCUUUAGCCUCCUCGUAUGUGGUGAACUCACAGUCGGGGGAAAAUUGUGGCGUUCCUGGCUCACAGAAUCUCAGAUGGUGUCUCAAAUUGUACCUAUCGAAGGUCAACAUCUGAGAGGAACAGAAUUUUUCAUCAUCUUAAGUGAUAGCUAGACUUUUGAUUGCUGAUUGUAAAGUCUUGCUGCUUUGGCAACAUUGUUGUACCUUUAAAAGUUAUACCCACAAAGCAGUUGUCUUAAAAACCUGUCCUGGAGAGAUACAGGGUGUGCAGGGUUUUGUUCCAGGCACCAGUUACACACAGAUUACACUAAUAAAGGUCUUGAUAAUUAGUUGAUUAAUUGAAUCAGACGUGUUAGAGUUGGGCUAAAACUAAAUCCUUUACACCCUGUUAUUUUCCAGUACAAACAUUGUUGAUCCAAUCAAUAAAGUUGAUGUGAAAUCUGACCUGUGAACCGUCCAUGUGGAACGCUACAGCAAUGUUGUCCCAAACGUAGAACUGGUGUUUCUGUGGAUCAGGGAUCAGGUGGGCUACAUCCUGGUUCUGGUAGGGCUUUGGCACCAAUUUCAAGCUGUGGAAAGGAAGUAAAAGUCUGAGUCAAUUGUAAUUAAUGCAUCCCAUGCUAUAAUUGAGUGAUUUUUUUAUCUAUUAUUGCUAUAUUACAUC